GUGACUAAUGGGUUUCAGGGCCUCUCAUUAGUUGCUUAUAUGAAUCCACGGGCUAUGUCUUUCUCCGUCCUACCUUGCAGCCCUUGUACUGUGGUUUGAGGACCUAUGAUGUCAGAAAGUACACAACACGGAGCCACUCUGCUGAGGACUCCUCAUAAAUGAGAUCUGAGAAGCACAAGAGUCACUCCGUGAGAGUCUCCUUCCCCCAGUUCCAGCACAGAGAGGUCUAAGCCAGAAUGAUCUCUGAUAGUGGAAAUAAGUUUGUGCAGGUGCCCAAGGAUGCCACUGGUCAUGAAAGUGGUUCUAGCAGCUUAAGCAAGUGGUGCUGGUGACUGUUGAUGGUGAAACCUGUCAUUGUAAAAGUAAAUACGUGUGCUUAAUACUGAGAAAUAUUUAAGAGGCCAGUUUUUCAGUUCUUUGGCUGUGCAGGUUGUUUUCUGCCAAGGGUCAAGAAAGAUGACAUUACAGUGGGACUCUCAUGUCCAGAGCAUGCAGCCAACUUGAGCUUACUGAGGACUAUAAAAAAGAAAGAAUUUAUCACCAGUCAAGAUUUUUUUUCCGACUUCUACACCUCUGAAGGCCUCUGAGGGGGGAGAUUACAGGUAGGAAAUUGAGGCACACAAGGUGACUCAUAGAAGUUACAGACACAUGGGCCAACGCCUCAGUUCUUUCUUUUCCUGCCAUUCAGCUCCUUUUGUCACAUUGGGGACAAAUAGCUUCACUUUUUUUGAAGCCCAAUUUUCUCAUCUGUCAAAAGAGACUAACGCUGGUGACAGUUUCACAGAGCUACAGGAUGGUUCCAUCUGGAUGCUGGGUAAUCCUCAGUAAACGGCAGCCUUACGAAGACUGGUCACACAUGCCUUCCAAUCCCGCUGAAGUCAUCUCCUUCAGCUGUGCUCUUAGCAGGACGUGUCCAACCGCAGGAUGUGCUACAGGAGACUGGCAGUGAAGAGGGCAGCCCCCUCCCAGGAGCUUACCUCCCGAGGAGGCCGCGGCAUAUCACGUAUCCUUCAGCAUUUCCGAUAAGCGGCCAAGAAGCGAAUCGUAUGCCUUUUUUCUCUUCUGGACCUUUGAAGUAUGAGCUAUAAAUGGGUAAAAACACAUCAACCACUCUCUCCAUGAAUAUUUAUUGAGAUAGCACUUUUAAUACAGAACCACUUGAAAAGUGAACCUCGGAGGAAAACUGCAUCUUUCGCAGCCAUUGAUCUUAAAAUAUUUCCUAUGAAUGCACUUGUGCUUGAAAUAUGACACCCUGCUUUUUCUUAUUUAUUCUGGGUGAAGUCACAGGGACUUGGCCUGGAUGGUUUUUACAAGCCGAACAGUAUUGGCAAAAUCAUCUUCUGGAUCAAAAUUCAACUUUUAUUUUGGUCUUUAGUUUGUUAGUUUCUGUCAGUUUUCCCCAAGAUAUCUCCGGGACUCACAACAGCAGGUAAAGGGGAGACUGAAUACACACUGCUAGCAGGAGAUCCCUGGGAGUGGAUGGUGAGAUCAUCUCCACCAGUGCUAAAAGGGUUUUGAAAGUUAUCUUGUCUACUACCCAUCCUCACAGGUGAGGACGCUUUUAAAGAUUCUCUCAAACAGGAUCCACUUCACCACCCUCCCGCUGCACAGGUUAAAGGAGUAAGAACCAUGAGGUCUGGGUGGGGCUCUGAAUAUCAAAGGAAUCCAUAUUGCCACUGAUGGCAGAAAUAUAAUUGUUACAGACAUUUCUGGUUACAGGUCACGUCUUGAUUAAUAUGAAAAUAGCAUACGACAUUUGAAUGUGCAGUUUACUUUGAAGACUCCAGCAUAUAACAGCCCUGUGGGGUGAGACUGGCUGAGGCCUUCAUUGUAAAGGGUCUCGCUUCAACAUCAAGAAGCAGCCUGGAUAUUCACCCGGAGGAGGCAGGGGUGAAGGGCUCCUGGUCAUGAGGGCGUCGGCCACGCCGCCUGAAGCUGCCCUCUUUGUUGUUCUCGACACAGAGAAGCCGCUCCUCG
Long non-coding RNA from Apodemus sylvaticus (European woodmouse), 1977 nucleotides. RefSeq lists it as uncharacterized. The record is from RefSeq and is a predicted model, not a curated record. The transcript has 4 exons. Lineage: Eukaryota; Metazoa; Chordata; Mammalia; Rodentia; Muridae.